RNAcentral lists this ribosomal RNA (406 nucleotides) under uncultured bacterium. RNAcentral describes it as "bacterial SSU rRNA". It matches the Rfam family "Bacterial small subunit ribosomal RNA", at positions 354 to 774 of the family's 1533-position model. The record is from RNAcentral.
GUGGGGGAUAUUGCACAAUGGAGGAAACUCUGAUGCAGCGACGCCGCGUGAGGGAAGAAGGUCUUCGGAUUGUAAACCUCUGUCUUUGGGGACGAAGAAAGUGACGGUACCCAAAGAGGAAGCCACGGCUAACUACGUGCCAGCAGCCGCGGUAAUACGUAGGUGGCGAGCGUUGUCCGGAAUUACUGGGUGUAAAGGGUGCGUAGGCGGACUGGCAAGUUGGAUGUGAAAUCUCCGCGCUUAACGUGGAGGUUGCAUUCAAAACUGUUGGUCUUGAGUGAGGCAGAGGCAGGCGGAAUUCCCGGUGUAGCGGUGAAAUGCGUAGAGAUCGGGAGGAACACCAGUGGCGAAGGCGGCCUGCUGGGCCUUAACUGACGCUGAGGCACGAAAGCAUGGGUAGCAAACA